This 432-nucleotide ribosomal RNA is filed under the name uncultured bacterium. RNAcentral's name for it is "bacterial SSU rRNA". It matches the Rfam family "Bacterial small subunit ribosomal RNA", at positions 85 to 513 of the family's 1533-position model. The record is from RNAcentral.
CUGGUGGCGAGUGGCGAACGGGUGAGUAAUAUAUCGGAACGUGCCCAGUCGUGGGGGAUAACGUAGUGAAAAUUACGCUAAUACCGCAUACGAUCUAAGGAUGAAAGCGGGGGAUCGCAAGACCUCGCGCGAUUGGAGCGGCCGAUAUCAGAUUAGGUAGUUGGUGAGGUAAAGGCUCACCAAGCCAACGAUCUGUAGCUGGUCUGAGAGGACGACCAGCCACACUGGAACUGAGACACGGUCCAGACUCCUACGGGAGGCAGCAGUGGGGAAUUUUGGACAAUGGACGCAAGUCUGAUCCAGCCAUUCCGCGUGCAGGACGAAGGCCUUCGGGUUGUAAACUGCUUUUGUACAGAACGAAAAGGUCUCUAUUAAUACUAGGGGCUCAUGACGGUACUGUAAGAAUAAGCACCGGCUAACUACGUGCCAGCA